This 327-nucleotide ribosomal RNA is filed under the name uncultured eukaryote. Its description in RNAcentral is "partial 18S ribosomal RNA". It matches the Rfam family "Eukaryotic small subunit ribosomal RNA", at positions 1470 to 1796 of the family's 1831-position model. The record is from RNAcentral.
CCCUUAGAUGUUCUGGGCCGCACGCGCGCUACACUGACGAAUGCAACGAGCUUAUAACCUUGGCCGAAAGGUCUGGGUAAUCUCCAAAUUUCGUCGUGAUGGGGAUAGAUUAUUGCAAUUAUUAAUCUUCAACGAGGAAUGCCUAGUAAGCGCAAGCCAUCAGCUUGCGUUGAUUACGUCCCUGCCCUUUGUACACACCGCCCGUCGCUCCUACCGAUUGAAUGGUCCGGUGAAGCGUUCGGACCGUGGCCUUUGGACGGUUCGCCGUCUGUUGGCUGCGGGAAGUUCGUUAAACCUUAUCAUUUAGAGGAAGGAGAANUCGUAACA